ACCGUAUCAUCGUCAUCGUCGUCUUCGUCGAGAUGGAGAAAGUGAUGAGGUUGGCAUCUGAAAAGGGUGUGGUGAUAUUCACAAAAAGUUCAUGUUGUCUAUGUUAUGCAGUUAACAUUUUGUUUCAAGAACUUGGGAUUAGGCCUAUGGUUCAUGAAAUUGAUCAAGAUCCUGAAGGAAGGGAUAUGGAGAAAGCUUUGUUGAGGUUAGGUUGUACUGCACCUGUUCCAGCUGUGUUCAUUGGAGGGAAACUUAUGGGAUCUACCAAUGAAAUUAUGUCACUUCAUCUAAGUGGUUCACUCACUCAAUUGCUCAAACCAUAUCAAUCUCGUUCUUGAAUCAUGAUACCUUAGCUUUUAGCUUCUUGGUGGAAGAAUAAAUUUGCUUGUGAUUUAGUACAUUAGUGUGACCUUAGUAAUAGUACUAUUGUAUUGAUAGUCUAUGUAGUGUUUUUAUAUGUCUCAAGUGUUUUCUAGCAUUUCAUUAGCUAUAAUGUAAUCACAUAAAUAAUUAAAUAUAUUCUUAAUUAAUCAAGUUUGAUUUAUAUCCUUGUACAAGUGCACCAACAAUCUAAUUAUGUAUUUAUGUUGUUUCC
RNAcentral lists this long non-coding RNA (595 nucleotides) under Trifolium pratense (red clover). RNAcentral's name for it is "long non-coding RNA (TPRA_LNC002882)". The record is from RNAcentral. Lineage: Eukaryota; Viridiplantae; Streptophyta; Magnoliopsida; Fabales; Fabaceae.